GAAUAUUGGUCAAUGGGGGGAACCCUGAACCAGCCAUGCCGCGUGUGUGAAGAAGGCCUGUUGGUCGUAAAGCAAUUUACGCGAGGAGGCGACGCUCUUGGUGAAUACCCAAAAUGCCAGGACGUUACUCGCCGCAUAAGCACCGGCCACACCUGUACCAGCAGCCGCGGUAAUACAGAGGGCGCAAUCGUUAAUUGGAUUCACUGGGCGUAAAGCGCGCGUAGGUGGCCAAUUAAGUAAAAUGUGAAAUCCCCGAGCUUAACUUGGGAAUGGCAUUCGAUACUGGUUGGCUAGAGUAUGGGAGAGGAUGGUAGAAUUCCAGGUGUAGCGGUGAAAUGCGUAGAGAUCUGGAGGAAUACCGAUGGCGAAGGCAGCCAUCUGGCCUAAUACUGACACUGAGGUGCGAAAGCAUGGGGAGCAAACG
RNAcentral lists this ribosomal RNA (424 nucleotides) under uncultured bacterium. RNAcentral describes it as "partial 16S ribosomal RNA". It matches the Rfam family "Bacterial small subunit ribosomal RNA", at positions 359 to 774 of the family's 1533-position model. The record is from RNAcentral.